UAGUAGCUGCGAGUGAAGCGGGAAAAGCUCAAAUUUGAAAUCUGGCAGUCUUUUUUUUCUUCUUUGGCUGUCCGAGUUGUAAUCUAGAGAAGUGCUUACCUGCACUGGACCAUGUAUAAGUCUCCUGGAAUGGAGCGUCACAGAGGGUGAGAAUCCCGUCUUUGACAUGGACUGCCAGUGUGUUGUGGUGUGCUCUCAAAGAGUCGAGUUGUUUGGGAAUGCAGCUCUAAAUGGGUGGUAAACUCCAUCUAAAGCUAAAUAUUGGCGAGAGACCGAUAGUGAACAAGUACCGUGAGGGAAAGAUGAAAAGGACUUUGGAAAGAGAGUUAAACAGUAUGUGAAAUUGUUGAAAGGGAAACGCUUGAAGUCAGUUAUGUUGGCUAGGGAUCAACCUAGCUAUUUUUGCUGGGUGAAUUUUCUAGUCUGACAGGCCAACAUCAGUCUUGACUGCUGGAAAAGAGCAGAGGGAAUGUGGCACCUUUGGGUGUGUUAUAGCCCUUUGUCAUAUGUAGCAGUUGGGACUGAGGGAUGCAGCGUGCCGCGAGGCUGGGUUUCGACCACGUUCACGCUUAGGAUGUUGGCUUUUAAUGGCUUCAAUCGACCCGUCUUGAAACACGGACCAAGGAGUCUAACAUGCCUGCGAGUGUUUGGGUGGAAAACCCUUGCGCACAAUGAAAGUGAAAGUUGAGAUCCCUGUCAUGGGGAGCAUCGACGCCCGGACCUGAGCUUUUAGCAAUGGAUCCGCGGUAGAGCAUGCAUGUUGGGACCCGAAAGAUGGUGAACUAUGCCUGAAUAGGGCAAAGCCAGAGGAAACUCUGGUGGAGGCUCGUAGCGAUUCUGACGUGCAAAUCGAUCGUCAAAUUUGGGUAUAGGGGCGAAAGACUAAUCGAACCAUCUAGUAGCUGGUUCCUGCCGAAGUUUCCCUCAGGAUAGCAGAAGCUCAUUAUCAGAUUUAUGUGGUAAAGCGAAUGAUUAGAGGCCUUGGGGUUGAAACAACCUUAACCUAUUCUCAAACUUUAAAUAUGUAAGAACGAGCUGUCACUUGAUUGGACUGCUCGGUGAUUGAGAGCUUCUAGUGGGCCAUUUUUGGUAAGCAGAACUGGCGAUGCGGGAUGAACCGAUCGCAAGGUUAAGGUGCCAGAGUUCACGCUCAUCAGACACCACAAAAGGUGUUAGUUCAUCUAGACAGCAGGACGGUGGCCAUGGAAGUCGGAACCCGCUAAGGAGUGUGUAACAACUCACCUGCCGAAUGAACUAGCCCUGAAAAUGGAUGGCGCUUAAGCGUGACACCCAUACCUUGCU
This 1302-nucleotide ribosomal RNA is filed under the name Amanita sp. 'cetovenori'. RNAcentral's name for it is "partial large subunit ribosomal RNA". It matches the Rfam family "Eukaryotic large subunit ribosomal RNA", at positions 81 to 1353 of the family's 3401-position model. The record is from RNAcentral. Lineage: Eukaryota; Fungi; Basidiomycota; Agaricomycetes; Agaricales; Amanitaceae.